RNAcentral lists this long non-coding RNA (2769 nucleotides) under Olea europaea subsp. europaea. Lineage: Eukaryota; Viridiplantae; Streptophyta; Magnoliopsida; Lamiales; Oleaceae. The record is from RNAcentral.
CCGUGAUAGGCAUGUGGGACAUCGGGACGUGCCUGAUUCUUCUCAAUCAUCUCGUCCUUUACCUCCUACACCACCGCCUCCACAACCUUCUGAUGCUACGGGGGACAUCCUUCGGCAUCUUGAAGCCAUGGAUUUGCGCAUGACCCGAUGGCAGGAUGGCAUGCAAGUACAAAUGAAUCAUCUACAAUCCACCAUCUUUGACUAGUUUCAUUAUCAGAGUGCUUGCAUGGCGGUCAUGACAUCUGCACACCCCGAGCUCACCUUCCCCCCACAGUCAUCGUUUCCACCUAAUUCACACCCUCCCGCUCCACUUGAUGGCGAUGAAGACAGUUGAUGUCUUCCCCGAGGUAUUUCUCUUCCCUUUCUUUCAAUUUCACAUUGAGGGCAAUAUGUUGUUUAAGUUUGGGGGUGUCUUACUUUCACUUAGUUGUUAGUUGUGUCUAACAUUUUCUUUAUUGUUUUUGUUGUGUUGCAUUAGUGUUCCAAGUAUGUUGUGCGUGUUAAUUUACUUUGUGUGAAAAAAAAUUUAAAAAAAAUUUUGCAUUAUUUUAUUUCACAUGCUUGUAUGAGUUGAAUAACAUUAUUAGCAAUGAUGAAUAUAUUUGGAAUGUGGAUCAGUUGUGGAUUAUGGAUGAGUUAGUUGCUUGAAUUAAAGUGUUACUUACCCUUGCAGAUUAUUGUAACAUUUAUGCACGUGAAUUGAAUAUAGCGGCAAACAAGAAUGAGUUGAUUCAUAAUUAGAUUUAGGCUGAAUUAAUGACCCUAGAAAUUGAAUCCAAACAGCCACUUGUAUAACAGUAUUCACAUCCCUUAACCUACCUUAGGAUAGUUUGGAUGGGCAAACUGUUGUAGGAAAGCAUGGACGUGGGUGUGGAUUCCGUGUGUGCCAAAUUCUGUGUGGAUUGUCUGAGACCAAUGAGAUGAAAAUUGAGUAAACACUUUUAGUUAAAGGCCAAUUUUCGAGAAUAUGUGUUUAAUAAGGGGCAUUGCACUAAUUAAAAAAAAAUCCCUAUGAAGACAACCUUAAAAAGCUUAUUGUGAAGCGUCUCUUCGUAGCAUUUAUGACUUGAGUGAUUAAGCCUGUAAGGGUUUAAAACCUGAUGCCCUAAAGUCGUUUGGCUUGGGAGUCAUUGGCCUAAAGCUCGCUAUAUGGGUCAUUUAGAAAGCUUAAGGGAGAGACAAUCGCACAAAGAUUAGUUAAAAGAAAAGUCGUUUUUAAGCUUAAUUAAGCCUUGAACACCUAUUUUAAAGGAGUAGGCUUUUGGCAAAGGGUUAGUAACUUGGUUGAUUCUUGGAGGUUGAAGCAGUCAAAAAUAGGAGAAUUCAUACUUACUGAUAUGUCGAACUACAAUUAGUAAAUUCCAACCAAAUUUUAGAGGUGUAAGAAAUUAGUAUUGAAAAUCAACUUUACGUACACCUUGGGAAGAAAAGAGAAAAUAAGUUUGGGGAUGUGUGAAUCCCACGAGCGAAGUAAGGAGAUAAUUGACUUCUGAGGGCGGGAGUUGAAUCAACAUACAAAUGUCUGGCGUUAUAUUCGAUUCUUCACACACGCACGCAUAUGAUCUGUAAUGGGUGGGUAAGGAGCUACCUUUUGCAAAAUAACUUUGAAAUACUUCAUAAACUCGAUCUCACAUUUCAAUGUUGAGCAAUAAAAACAUGUUGUCCAACUAAAUUAUGCAUUUAAAUUCUUUGGCAGCAUUUGUGUUUGUGUUUGGUAAUUAUUGUUUAUUAAUUGUGUUUGCUUGAGGACAAGCAAUGAACUAAGUUUGGGGGAGUUUGAUGAGUGUAAUUCACUCAUUAAACAUACGCCUCUAAAUCACGGGUUUUAGUUUGUUCUUGAGCACUUUUGAACGUUUUGAUGUGUGUGUUCGUGUUGUCUUGCAGCUAAAUCAACAUUCGAGAAAACACCAUAAUUGGGAGCUUGUGAUGAAUCUAAAUGGUGGUCAUAAAAUGGGGGCAUAAAUUAGAGAUAAGAAAAGAAGAUUACAAUGGAAAAUAAGUUUAGAAGGUGAAUGAUUCAAGCAAGAAGCAGCUUGUUAGGUGCCACGACGUGGCGGCCAACAAAAGGAGAAAGUCAGCAGGAAGCUAGGCGCCACGGCGCCCAGCGUGAAAACAAGAAGCAGAACAGCUGCUACCGUGGUGCCAGACUUGGGAGCCACGGCGCCAGAACCCAAUCACAACGCGGUGUUGCGGCGCCAGACACCCCCGUAUAUGCAAAGGUCAUGGAUCAAAGAGGGGUAACCCAAACUUCCUGUAGCUGGCUCGACUAGGAUGCGAAGAAUGCUGUUUUGAAUAACUCUGCCAACAUCAAUAGACUACCCCUUCUGAAUAUCAAAAUUCAGUAAGGCCCAUUCCUUGGUGAUCUCGCUGGUGUUGCUACUGGGGAUCAGUUUGAAUGAUAUGAAGUGGUGCCAAAUUUUACAGUUAGGUAUCAGACCAGAGGAAGGGAAGUGAGUUACAUCACUAGCUGAUCUUUUCCAUUCAGUAUCGAAGCGAGCUAUAGUGCGAAUUAUCUCAUCGGGAUCGACCCCCUCAUCACGUAGUCGAGAAUAGUCAUCAUUGAGUAUAUCUCGCGUGUGGUAGAACCUAUUAAUUGAAGCACUGUCAAACUUGAUCCAAAAAUCCCGGAAAAAACUUCGAAGUUCUCGUGUUCAUUGGCAUUGGCAUAAAAUUCUUUCACCAAAGGAAUCGAUGCAGCUGUAGGUUGCUUGAUAAACUUUUCCCAUCCCAAACCGUGUAUUUCAUCUGGCAAAAAAAUUUCAAAGUCCC